CUGCAGCCAACACAGCCGACCAUGCUCUCGGGCCUGUGGGGUCCCGUGUAUGCUGGAGGCACCCAGCAGCCCCCGUGGGAAUGUCCAUAGCCCGCUGCUUGUAAGGGCCGCCCCAAGGGACCCUGGAGACAGCC
Small nucleolar RNA from Sorex araneus (European shrew), 134 nucleotides. RefSeq annotates it as small nucleolar RNA SNORA70. The record is from RefSeq and is a predicted model, not a curated record. NCBI's taxonomy places the organism in Eukaryota, Metazoa, Chordata, Mammalia, Eulipotyphla, Soricidae. The transcript has a single exon.